UACGUAGGGACCAAGCGUUGUUCGGAUUUACUGGGCGUAAAGGGCGCGUAGGCGGCCACCGCAAGUCGACUGUGAAAUCUCCGGGCUUAACCCGGAACGGUCAGCCGAUACUGCGGGGCUAGAGUGCAGAAGGGGCAACUGGAAUUCUCGGUGUAGCGGUGAAAUGCGUAGAUAUCGAGAGGAACACCUGCGGCGAAGGCGGCCUGCUGGGACGUGGCUGACGCUGAGGCGCGACAGCGUGGGGAGCAAACAGG
This 254-nucleotide ribosomal RNA is filed under the name uncultured bacterium. Its description in RNAcentral is "partial 16S ribosomal RNA". It matches the Rfam family "Bacterial small subunit ribosomal RNA", at positions 524 to 776 of the family's 1533-position model. The record is from RNAcentral.